UGUAAAGACAUACAGUAUCUAUAUACUGCAAAAAAUUGAACAUAAGACGCCGAUACAUUAAGUAAUCCUUACCUUUUAAUCUGCAGAUUGGCGAAAGCAAAUACAAUAGCUUCAGUUUCAUGAUAAGUGGGCUGGCGGAGUUUGUCAAUGAAUCAAAUAAGCGGCAUUGCAGAGUUUUUUAAUUGUGGAGUGAGAAAGAGAGAUCACCUUGUCUACCUUAUUCUGCCACUCCGCUGAACGGAUACACAGCUUUUUCACCUGGUCAGAACGUGGGGAAAGAUUCGUGGAAAGAAUGUUGUCAAUAUUUUUGACAUCACGUCUAAAUGGCCAAAACCCCUUUCAAAAGCUACAGAAUCUACUAGCUGUCACUGCUUAGUUCUUUAUUCAUUCUCACAAUCCGUGAACGGUUACGAAUUUCCUUCAUGAAAAAAGAAGAGCCUGAAGGAACAAAAAUCGAAGAGGAUGAAUCAAGAACAUACCUUGCUUCUGGAUUAAAUAAUACUCUUCAUGGCAACAUUUACCAGCUAAAAUUGUUAAUGUUAUUUUUAAAGCGUGGACUAGAUAAAAGCUACUCUUUUCGUUUGGCUACAGAGUAGAAUAAUGCUGAAAAAUUUGAUGAUUUGGUUUUUAUAUGUAAUAAUUCAAAAUCAAAAAAAAUAUAUCGUUUUUUGCAAGCAAAACACAAGCAAAAUAAGGAGGAUAAUAAAAUUGGAAUAAGCGAUUUACUCACAAAAAA
This is a long non-coding RNA of Drosophila ananassae, 736 nucleotides long. RefSeq lists it as uncharacterized. The transcript is spliced from 3 exons. NCBI's taxonomy places the organism in Eukaryota, Metazoa, Arthropoda, Insecta, Diptera, Drosophilidae. The record is from RefSeq and is a predicted model, not a curated record.